This 492-nucleotide ribosomal RNA is filed under the name uncultured bacterium. RNAcentral describes it as "partial 16S ribosomal RNA". It matches the Rfam family "Bacterial small subunit ribosomal RNA", at positions 29 to 507 of the family's 1533-position model. The record is from RNAcentral.
AUUGAACGCUGGCGGCAUGCUUUACACAUGCCAGUCGAACGGUAACAGGCCUUCGGGUGCUGACGAGUGGCGAACGGGUGAGUAAUGCAUCGGAACGUACCCAGAGGUGGGGGAUAACGCAGCGAAAGCUGUGCUAAUACCGCAUGUGAUCUGAGGAUGAAAGCGGGGGACCGAGCAGCAAUGUUUGGCCUCGCGCCUUUGGAGCGGCCGAUGUCGGAUUAGCUAGUUGGUGGGGUAAAGGCCUACCAAGGCGACGAUCCGUAGCUGGUCUGAGAGGACGAACAGCCACACUGGGACUGAGACACGGCCCAGACUCCUACGGGAGGCAGCAGUGGGGAAUUUUGGACAAUGGGCGCAAGCCUGAUCCAGCAAUGCCGCGUGCGGGAAGAAGGCCUUCGGGUUGUAAACCGCUUUUGGCAGGAACGAAACGGUGUCCGCUAAUACCGGGCGCUAAUGACGGUACCUGCAGAAUAAGCACCGGCUAACUACGUG